UUUUUUUUUUUUUUUUACUAAUACGCAUAGACAAGCUAUACCGACAGCUAACAGUCGGUCCUAUUGUGGAAUAUUCGUUUAUACCAGGGGCGUAAGUACACGCAGGGCCGGAUCGAAGCCGCGUGCACUCGCACGAGCACCGCGCUUUUAAGGGACCAGCAUUGAUGGGAGAUUUCGAUUCUGUACUGAAAGAUUACAUAUUUAAAACAGUAAUCCCAAAACGGAUUAAGAACUAAAAACGCACACCCGUACAUACUUGUAUUUAACUCGUGUAGCAUGCAAAAUUAACCGAUUACACGAAUGGCCAAACGAAAUACGAUGUUAGAAAUUGUCAAUAGAAUAAAAUAAUCUAAAUAUUAUUCGAUUUCGUUAGAUUUCGUCCCUGACGUUAGCCACCGCGAACACCUGCAAUUAUCGGUUGUUGUACGAUGUAUAGACACAGAAACUACCGCUAAAUUGAACCUCCUGUAUGUUUUGAAAUCGUUGAGAGUUCAACAGGGCGAAAGUCUGUCCGAUAAAAUGACGCAUUCGGUAAAGUCAGAAGGGUCGUGUACAUCUGACUAUUGUGCGAGCUCGUGUACCGCGUCGGAUACAUCCAGUUGAAAGCCCCGCACGACGCUUAGACGUUUUCCAGGCCGGCCUUCCGUGCACAUGACUAUUGUGUAGCGGAUGAAUGGGGCAAGUGACGAACAAUUCCGAUGCGAGAAAGUUUUAAUUGUCCGUUUUUUUUUUUAUUUUUUUUUUUUUUCUGAAAUUGCAUUCAAAAUUUUAAGAAAAAAUAGUUUGAUUCGGUUGCAGAUAUUCGAAUAUCACGAUCGAAACGCGAAUCGCACGCUACAUUAUAACGAUUGUCGGCAGUGCGCAUUCGAUUAUCUACAAUGUAGACGUA
This is a non-coding RNA of Cinara cedri, 889 nucleotides long. The record is from the annotation of a GenBank genome assembly. NCBI's taxonomy places the organism in Eukaryota, Metazoa, Arthropoda, Insecta, Hemiptera, Aphididae.